Molecule: ribosomal RNA, 254 nt
Filed under: uncultured bacterium
Lineage: Bacteria
Description: partial 16S ribosomal RNA
Rfam family: Bacterial small subunit ribosomal RNA
Source: RNAcentral
UACGAAGGGGGCUAGCGUUGCUCGGAUUUACUGGGCGUAAAGGGCGCGUAGGCGGUCAGCACAAGUCAGUUGUGAAAUCUCCGGGCUUAACUCGGAAAGGUCAACUGAUACUGUGCGACUAGAGUGCAGAAGGGGCAACUGGAAUUCUCGGUGUAGCGGUGAAAUGCGUAGAUAUCGAGAGGAACACCUGCGGCGAAGGCGGGUUGCUGGGCUGACACUGACGCUGAGGCGCGAAAGCCAGGGGAGCGAACGGG